Gossypium raimondii (Peruvian cotton) is the source of this 2505-nucleotide RNA transcript. It is a transcript of the gene named polyadenylate-binding protein 2, with no coding region annotated. NCBI's taxonomy places the organism in Eukaryota, Viridiplantae, Streptophyta, Magnoliopsida, Malvales, Malvaceae. The transcript has 10 exons. The record is from RefSeq and is a predicted model, not a curated record.
AAUAAUACAGUUACUGCUUUGCCGGCGCGGUGCAGUUUGUUCUGCCCUCCCCUUCUUUAUCAUUACUUUAAUUUUUUUCUCCCUCUGCCCGGAUCUCCGACGAUAUUAUCCCUUUUUAUUCCUCCCUCUCCUCUUUUAUCCCCCAAAAUUCUAAAAGAAGUUCUCCCACAUUUCAUAUUUAAUUCUAAAAAAUUUUCAAUCUUCUUGUUUCUCUAUUGUUUUGUUUUGAUUGAAUAAAGAGGAGAGGGAAACAUAACAAGAAAAAAAAAUGAACUAGAAGAGUUAGGGUUCGAGCCAAGGUUUUGUGGAUGGCGCAGGUUCAGGUUCAGCAUCAUGCGUCGGUUUCGGGGCCAAUCAGUGUCGCGUCGGGGCACGGAGGAGCGCAGUUCAUGCCGACUUCACUCUAUGUUGGGGAUCUUGAUGUUUCAGUUACUGAUGAGCAACUCUACCAAACGUUUGGCGAGGUGGCUCCGGUCGUUUCUGUGAGGGUUUGUCGGGACACGGCGACUGGCCGCUCUCUCGGAUAUGGCUACGUCAACUAUAACAAUCCUCGAGAUGCGGCUAGGGCAUUGGAUCUACUGAAUUUCACUCCAAUGAAUAAUAAGCCUAUCCGAAUCAUGUAUUCUCAACGGGACCCUAGUCUUCGUAAGAGUGGUACUGCAAAUAUAUUUAUCAAGAAUCUGGACAAGUCAAUUGACCACAAAGCAUUACAUGAUACGUUUUCUUCCUUUGGCAACAUUCUUUCUUGCAAGAUAUCAACUGAUGGUUUGGGCCAGUCCAAAGGCUAUGGUUUUGUGCAAUUUGACAAUGAAGAAUCUGCUCAAAAUGCAAUUGAUAAAUUAAAUGGUAUGUUGAUUAAUGACAAGCAGGUCUAUGUUGGACAUUUCCUUUGUAAGCAUGAAAGAGAGACUGCACCAAAUAAGGUCAAAUUCAAUAACGUAUAUGUGAAAAAUCUUUCUGAUACGACAACUGAUGAGGAAUUAAAAACAAUUUUUGGUGAGCAUGGUGAAAUUACUAGUGUUGUAGUUAUGAGGGAUGCAGAUGGGAAGUCUAAAUGUUUUGGAUUUGUGAACUUUGAAAAUGCUGAUGAUGCUGCUAAAGCCGUUGAAGCUCUGAAUGGAAAGAAAUUUGAAGAUAAAGAGUGGUAUGUUGGCAAAGCCCAGAAAAAAUCUGAGAGAGAGCAUGAGCUAAAAGCUCGAUUUGAGCAAAAUAUGAAGGAAGCUUCUGAUAAAUUCCAGGGUUUGAAUUUAUAUAUUAAAAACUUAGAUGAUAGUAUUGGUGAUGAAAAAUUGAAGAAAAUGUUUUCAGAGUUCGGUAACAUCACUUCAUGCAAGAUUAUGCGUGAUCCUAGUGGAAUUAGUAAGGGAUCUGGAUUUGUUGCAUUUUCAACACCUGAAGAAGCAUCUCGUGCACUUGCUGAGAUGAAUGGUAAAAUGAUUGUUAGCAAGCUGCUAUAUGUUGCGCCUGCACAAAGGAAAGAAGAGAGAAGAGCACAGCUACAGGCUCAGUUUUCUCAAAUGAGGCCACUUGCAAUCCCCUCAGCCGCUCCUCGGAUGCCAGUGUACCCUUCUGGUGCUCCAGGUCUUGGCCAACAAUUUUUCUAUGGGCAAGCACCUCCAACUGUCAUUCCUCCACAAGCUGGAUUUGGCUAUCAGCAGCAACUGGUUCCUGGAAUGAGGCCUGGUGGACCUCCUAUGCCAAAUUACUUUGUUCCCAUGGUACAGCAGGGCCAACGCCCUGGUGGACAACGAGGAACAGGUCGAGUACAACAGGCUCAGCAACCAGUUUCAUUAAUGCAGCAGCCGAUGCUCCCCAGGGGACAAGUUUAUCGUUACCCGCCUGGUCAUAAUAUGCCUGAAGUUGCACCGUCAAAUGUUCCUGGAGGCAUGCUUUCCAUUCCAUAUGAUAUGGGUAGCAUGCCCGUGCGAGAUGCUGGCAGUGGACAGCCUAUUCCGGUUACUGCUUUGGCUACAUCACUUGCAAAUGCAACACCUGAACAGCAGAGGACGAUGCUUGGUGAAAGCUUGUAUCCCCUUGUGGAGCGACUGGAGCGUGAUGCAGCAGCCAAGGUUACUGGCAUGCUUCUUGAGAUGGACCAAACGGAGGUUUUGCAUCUCCUCGAAUCACCGGAAGCUUUGAAGGCAAAAGUAGCAGAGGCCAUGGAGGUUUUGAGAAGUGUUGCUGCUCAGCAACAGUCCAACAAUCCAGCUGACCAGUUGUCCUCACUGUCACUGAAUGACAACCUUGUCUCCUGAGUGAAUGAACUUGAGUCGAGAUUCUUGGCAGAGAAGUUGCUAGACCCUUUUAUCAAAAUUGGGCUUAUCUUUGUUGAGAGGGAGCAGUCUAAUAUCAAAGGCGACGAUGUAGCAAUCCUGGUCGUAUUUAGGGCCCAAAACAUUCUACUGUUCGAGUGUUUUCAGUUGAGAUACUUUUCUGUUCCUAAAGGACUCAAAAGACCGUUCAAAGAUAAAUAUGUUCAACUAAUAAAGUAAACUAGCAUGCUUU